AGCGCACAGUUUAUACCGUAGCUUGCUACACCAUAAACUGUGAGUUGCGAACGGGUGAGUAACGCGUAGGUAACCUGCCUGGUAGCGGGGGAUAACUAUUGGAAACGAUAGCUAAUACCGCAUAAUAUUGAUUAUUGCAUGAUAAUUGAUUGAAAGAUGCUAUUGCAUCACUACCAGAUGGACCUGCGUUGCAUUAGCUAGUAGGUGAGGUAACGGCUCACCUAGGCGACGAUACAUAGCCGACCUGAGAGGGUGAUCGGCCACACUGGGACUGAGACACGGCCCAGACUCCUACGGGAGGCAGCAGUAGGGAAUCUUCGGCAAUGGACGAAAGUCUGACCGAGCAACGCCGCGUGAGUGAAGAAGGUUUUCGGAUCGUAAAGCUCUGUUGUAAGAGAAGAACGGGUGUGAGAGUGGAAGGUUCACACUGUGACGGUAUCUUACCAGAAAGGGACGGCUAACUACGUGCCAGCAGCCGCGGUAAUACGUAGGUCCCGAGCGUUGUCCGGAUUUAUUGGGCGUAAAGCGAGCGCAGGCGGUUAGAUAAGUCUGAAGUUAAAGCCUGUGGCUUAACCAUAGUACGCUUUGGAAACUGUUUAACUUGAGUGCAGAAGGGGAGAGUGGAAUUCCAUGUGUAGCGGUGAAAUGCGUAGAUAUAUGGAGGAACACCGGUGGCGAAAGCGGCUCUCUGGUCUGUAACUGACGCUGAGGCUCGAAAGCGUGGGGAGCGAACAGGAUUAGAUACCCUGGUAGUCCACGCCGUAAACGAUGAGUGCUAGGUGUUAGGCCCUUU
RNAcentral lists this ribosomal RNA (793 nucleotides) under uncultured Streptococcaceae bacterium. RNAcentral's name for it is "SSU rRNA". It matches the Rfam family "Bacterial small subunit ribosomal RNA", at positions 65 to 833 of the family's 1533-position model. Lineage: Bacteria; Bacillati; Bacillota; Bacilli; Lactobacillales; Streptococcaceae. The record is from RNAcentral.